Molecule: non-coding RNA, 392 nt
Filed under: Pan troglodytes (chimpanzee)
Lineage: Eukaryota; Metazoa; Chordata; Mammalia; Primates; Hominidae
Source: RNAcentral
CGGAAUUUAGAUGGGCAGAAGCAUUUUAGGAGAUUUUCAGAUUGAGAAAUGGAGGCAUCGAGGUCAAAUCUUUUACCUAAACCACUGAGCAGCAGAGACAGCUUCCUAUCCCAUGUUUCCGUGCUGGAGCAGACCCGUGUGUGUUUGGGAGCAGGGGUAGCUGGAGCUCUUGGAGGCCUUGCAGAGAGAUGGCCUUGCCCAUGAUGAAGUCCUCUGGUGACUCUGCAGGACUGGCUUCAGUCUCAAAUUGGAUAUUUCCACUGGCACAUAACCAAGCCUCAGUCAAUGGAACUAUACAUCCAUAAGUCUCAGAAAGCAGAAGGAUGGCUUCCUAAAUGAUUUUUCCUUAUGCUGUAUGUGCCAAUAGAUAUCACUAAUACAAUCAGUACAAA